This 443-nucleotide ribosomal RNA is filed under the name uncultured bacterium. RNAcentral describes it as "partial 16S ribosomal RNA". It matches the Rfam family "Bacterial small subunit ribosomal RNA", at positions 338 to 795 of the family's 1533-position model. The record is from RNAcentral.
CCUACGGGAGGCAGCAGUGGGGGAUUUUGGACAAUGGGGGAAACCCUGAUCCAGCGACGCCGCGUGAGUGAAGAAGUAUUUCGGUAUGUAAAGCUCUAUCAGCAGGGAAGAAAGAAAUGACGGUACCUGAGUAAGAAGCCCCGGCUAACUACGUGCCAGCAGCCGCGGGAAUACGUAGGGGGCAAGCGUUAUCCGGAAUUACUGGGUGGAAAGGGAGCGUAGACGGUAAUGCAAGUCUGGAGUGAAAGGCGGGGGCCCAACCCCCGGAGUGCUCUGGAAACUGUGUAACUGGAGUGCAGGAGAGGCAGGCGGAAUUCCUAGUGUAGCGGUGAAAUGCGUAGAUAUUAGGAGGAACACCAGUGGCGAAGGCGGCCUGCUGGACUGUAACUGACGUUGAGGCUCGAAAGCGUGGGGAGCAAACAGGAUUAGAUACCCUAGUAGUC